RNAcentral lists this long non-coding RNA (5875 nucleotides) under Sus scrofa (pig). RNAcentral describes it as "lncRNA (ENSSSCG00040014219.1)". Lineage: Eukaryota; Metazoa; Chordata; Mammalia; Artiodactyla; Suidae. The record is from RNAcentral.
UACUCCAGCUUUCUUUUCAUUCCCAUUUGCAUAGAAUACUUUUUCCACCUCUUUAAUUUGUGUGUCUUUAGAUCUAAAGUGAGUCUCUUACAGGCAUCAUAUAAAUGGCUCUUGUUUUUUAAAUCCAUUCAGCUUCCUUCUUUAUGACUUUCUUUCUUUUUUUUUUAGGGCCACACCAGCAGCAUAUGGAAGUUCCCAGUCUAAGGGUUGAAAUGGAGCUGUAGCUGCCAGCCUAUGCCACAGCCACAGCCACAUCCAUGCCAGAUCUGAGCCAUGUCUAUGGCUUACACUGUAGCUCACAGCAACACCGGAUCCUUAACACACUGAGUGAGGCCAGGGAUUGAACCUUCAUUUGUCAUGGAUACUAAUUGGGCUCCUUACUGCUGAGCCACAAUGGGAAAUCCAAGCCUCUUGGUGACUUUCAAUUGAAGCAUUUAGUCUAUUUACAUUUAAAGUAAUUAUUAAUAGAUAUGAACUUAUUGCCGUUUUGUGAAAUUUUUUGGGGGGGUUGUAGUUCUUUUUGUGUGUUUCUUCUUCUUUUGAUCUCUUCCAUUGUGAUUUGAUGGCUCUCCUUAGUGUGGUGUUGAAUUCCUUUUUCUUUUGUGUGUGUUUAUCUAUUACAAACUUUGGUUUGUGGUUACUAUGAAGUUCAUCGUAGCAAUUACAUAUAUACAUGAUCAGUUUAAGUUGAUCUCUUUAAUUUCAAAUGCAUUCUAACAACCCUGUAUUUUUGCUGUGCAGCCCACCACAUUUAUUGUUUUUGACAUCAUAUUUUACAUUUUCACAUGUUUUGUUUUCCUUGCUAGGUUGAGUAUUCUUGGUUGGAGGUCUUUUCUCUUUCAUCACUUUAAAUAUAUUGUGGUACUCUCCUCUGGCCUGCAGAGUUCCUGUUGAAAAGUCAGCUGGUAGUAUUAUGCAACUUCUCUGUUUCUUUUCCCUUGCUGCUUUUAAUUUUCUGUCUUUAUCUUUGAUUUUUGCCAUUUUAAUUACAGUGUGUCUUGGUGUGGUCCUCUUUGGGUUAAUCCUGUUUUGGACUCUCUGCACUUCUUGUGGGUGACUGCUUCCUUUCCCAGGUUAGGGAAUUUUUCAGAUAUUAUGUCUUAAAAUAUGUUCUCUUCCCCUUUCUCUCUCUUCUAUUUCUUAGUCCCCUAUAAUGUAAUGUUAGUGCACUUGAUGUUGUCCCAGAAGUCUCUUAAACUAGACUCAGUUUAUAAAUUCUUCAGGUUUUUUUUUCUGUUCAGCAUCAGUGAUUUCCACUACUCUGUCUUACAGCUUGCUGAUCCAUUCCUCUGUAUCAAACAGUGUACUGUUGAUUCCUUUUAGUGUAUUUUUAUUUCAAAUAUUUUGUUCUUCUACUCUGUUUGCUUUUUCUUUAUAUUUUUUGUUUGUUAAACUUCUCACUUUGUCCAUCCAUUCUUCUCCUGAGUAUAUUGAGCAGCUUUGUCAUCAUGGCCUUGAAGUCUUUAAUCAUUUGGACUGCUUAUCUUUACUUCACUUAGUUCUAAUGAAGCUUUAUCUUCUUUCUUUGUUUUGAACAUACUCCUUUGUUGCUUCAUUUUGCCUAACAUUCCAUUUUUAUUUGUAUGUAUUAGGUAUGUCAAUUACAUUUCCCAGUUUUCUGGUAGUGGCCUCAAGUAGGAGAUAUCCCAGCAGCACACUCUCUUCUGGUCAUCAGAGCCCUAUGAACCCGGAGUGCUCCUUAUGUGGGCUGAGUUAGCCUUUCUUUGUGGCAGGGUUGACCACUGUGGGUGCACUUGGAGAUGGUGUGACUCCCUAGCCUGCUCAGCUGCCAGCCCUGCUGGGUGAGGCUGGGUCCUGGGGAUCCACUGGUGGAUGGAUCCAGAUCCUGAGGCAGCCAGGCAAAGAUUGGAGGAACCUUCAGCUGGUAUCAGCUGCCUGGUGGAUGAGACUGGGUCACUGCACAACUGACUUCUGGGGUUGGGGGUCUCAGGACUGGUGCUGGGCUGAGGUUGGGUGGGUAAGAUCUCAGUGGUAAUAAACUGGAGGGAGGAUUCCAAAAUGGUCCUUGCCAGCACCAAUGGCAUGUUAGAAUGAACUCCCCCAAAUGCCUGCUGCUAGUGUUUAUUUCCCUAGGGUGAGCUUUCAUUGCUUUCUGACUCUCCAAGAUCAGCAGUUGGGUCUAACCCAGCUUCUUUCAAAUGACUGCUUAUGCCCUGCAUCCUAGAGGGUGUGGUGGGGUUUUGUGCAUGCCCUUUAAGAGUGGAGUCUCAUUUCCCACAGCCCCAAGGCUCUUCUGAAGUUAAGCCUCUCUGCCUUCAAAGCCAAAUGUCCUGGGGUCUUGUCUUCCUGGUGCAGGACCCUCAGGAUGGGAAGCCUAAUGUGGAGCUUGGACCCCUUGCUCCUUGGGGAAAACCUUGCAAUUGUUAUUAUCUUCCUGUUUAUGGGUCUUGAUGAUACCAUAUCUCUGCUGCUUCUACCCAUCUCGUUGUUCCUUCUUCAUAUCUUUCAUUCUAGAAAAUCUUUUCUGCUUGUCUUCAGGUCAUUCUCAUAGAUAGUAGCUCUGUAUAUGGUUGUCAUUUUGAUGUACCCAUAGGAAGAGGUGAGCUCAGGGUCUUCCUACUCCUCCACCUUUGCCACUCCAGUCUGUGAUUUUUAACCUGGUAGGUAUGUGUACACCUUGCCUCACUAAACAAGUUGCAUAGUAUAUAAAAGAAUGAAAAGAAAUGUGUUCCUUUGUACUUCUGUCUAGAUGCUAUUCAAUCAGUUCAAACUGAUGGAAAGAUUUAGGUUUUUGGAAAAGAUACAGCAAUUCAAAAUCAUGUUUGUUAAAAUACCAUUUCCUGUAGAGCUGUAAUGCUGUCCAUGGGGAUUACUUUUCCUACUCAGGCAUCUGAUGUUUCGACAAUUUUUUUUUCAUAGAAAUGACCACUAACAUCAUUUCAGAUCAACUACAGUGGAAUUAACUUAGGUUGCAGAGUCUGGGAUUUCUCACAUGCACAGAUACCACGUGACACAGUGGCAGCAGCACAGGACUUGCUCAGGAUGUCCUUCUCAGGGGUGGAGUUCUGUGCCAAGGUUUCAUCCCUUCCCAUACCCUGACCAUCUUUUGUGAGGAAGGGGCACCAUGAGAGUAAAGGCCAUGUUCAUGAAUAUAGGCCCUUCUUCUUGGUGUGGUGUGUUACACAUUACUGCUCUCCCUCUUUCCUUGAGCUUUUGACAAUGCUGGGUUCACCUGGUCCCUGUAGUAGGGUAGGAAAAAUGGCCCAGGUCACAGAAGCUGCAUGAAACCUGCCUGAAACUUUCCCAUUUGGGGAAUGAGCACCAUGCUGUCCCUAGUUUGGAUGCAGGUGAUGCAGGUGGCCGUUCAGGAGUGUGCUGGGGCUCAGCCCUCCAAAGAGCUGAGCACAGGUGCACACAGGGGAUGGGAAGUGUCAGAGUGACCUUGCCCCGGAGUGUUGGUAAGGAAUGAGGAGGAGGAACAAUGAUUGUCAAGAGCAAGAGUGAAAGGUGCAUGCACGUAUUCUUGGUCUCUCAUUUGUGAGCAGUAAGGAGGUGAGCAAAGAAGACAGGCCCUCAGAGGAAAUGCACGCUUUCCCUCUGUGCCCCCAGGACUGUGGGCACUAAUGGAGAGCACUUCAUUCUCGUGGGGGCUUUCGGCCGUUCAUGCACCUGGCACCUCCUAAGCUCUACACUCUCUGUCUGCUCAAUGUCUCUGUCCAGCCCUCCUCCUCCUGACUAGCCUGCCCUGGUGGAGCGUUCUCACCAGCUGUCCCUUGUUCUUCUCUUUUGUCUCCUCUGCUCCCUGGACACUUUGCUCCAGGAGCUAUUUUCUUUGUUUGUAUCUUUAAUUCUUUUCGCUCUCUCUUCAGGCGUGCACCAUAUUUUGCCCAGGUUGUUUCCUUAAUGUCCUAAUUGGCUUUCCUGUGUGAAAUGUUCUCUCACUUCCAUAUUGACUUCACACAAGUCCUGACUGCAGCUGUCAUUCUGAAGGCGGUUCUGAGUUCAUUGCACUUCUUUUCAAAACUCUUGUGUGGGUCCCAGGUGCCUGCAGAACAAGCCUCCUCAACUAGUGCUGUGGGUCUUCCAAGGUUUUCCUGCAGCCUCCCUCAGCCUCACCUGCCCACUGUGUUCCCAGAGAUGUGCUGUUUUGGUCAUGGUGAACUAACUGCCCUGCCCCUGCAUUCACUUAUAUCCCUCUGCUCAGCCUGAUUCUUUCUUCGGUUGACUAGUUUUUCUUCCUGUAAAGAUGGUAUUUGCUCUUCAAGGCUCAUGUUGAUGCCUUCCCUCACUCUCCAAGAUACCACCAGCAUUCAGUCAAAAUCUUUUUUCAGCUACUGUUGCAAUAAAAACAGACAAGAUGUGGAGUUCCCUGGUGGCUCAGUGGGGUGAGGAUCUGGUGUUAUCACUGCUGUGGCUCAGGUCACUGCUUGAGUGCUGGUUCAGUUCCUGUCCCAGGAACUUCUGCAUGCUUCAAGCAGAGCCAAAAAGGAAACAAACAAAAAAACAAAACAGGACAAAGAAAACCUCUCAGUGUGAAGUUCCUGUUAUGGCUCAGCCGGUUAAGAAACUGACAUAGUGUCCACAAGGAUGCAAAUUCAAUCCCUGGCCUCACUCAGUGGGUUAGUGAUCCAGAGGUGAUGCAAGCUGUGACUUAGGUCAAAGAUGGUGGUUGUAUCUAGCAUUGCUGUGUAAGCCAGCAGUUCCAACCCCAGUUCAGCCCCACCCUGGGAACUUUGAUAUGUCGCAGGUAUGGCCAUAAAACAAAACAAAAGCAAAACAACACAAAUAAAAUCCAAAACAAAACAGAAAAACCUCUCAAUGUAUGUCUGACCCCAUACAUUUUAUAACUUCUCCUGGAGUUCACUGCUAAGGAGCUGUGCUCUUUUUGACUUGUUCUACAAUUUUCAGGGGUUCAGUGCACCUGGAAGAGGUUUGCAAAGUUCAGUUAAAAGAAAAUAAUCUUCAAACUGGAAAGGAUGUAAUUCAGUCAUUUAUUUUUAAAUACAAGGGUCCUACCCCACAACAGUCAUGAGUCUAGGGUCCUAAAAAAGUGUCUGUGUGAGCACAAAGCCAGAAUCCGUGAUAUUGGAUAAAUUAUGGAAAAUAAGACAGGUGCUGGAUGAGGAUGAGUAAAUGCUUCCUUGAUUUUCAAAAAGGACGUAAGUCAGAGAAAUCAAAGUUCGAUGAUUCUCAGUGAUGCCUCUCAUACAGUUUGGUAGCUGCUCCAUGAUCCAUAGUUGGAAAGUGGUGGUCUCAGGAAACCAGCAUGGGCUCUGUAAUGCUCCUCUUGGAGAGAAACGUCGAGGAUGGGAGCUGGCUUGAGUGCUACAGAAAUGUUGGAGUUCUUGUGUUGAAUAAGAGAGGGAGGUAGAGGAGAGCAAGUGACCCUCAGUGUAAAAACACACCUGACAGCCCAGCCACUCCUUGCUGGCUGGCACCAUAAAGAGCCCCCUGUGCUUCUUGCUGCUUGGUAGUUAAAUGUAAGGGACGACAUAUCAGGUCACACACACUACGACCCUGAAUCCAGCUCACAGGUACAACCAUGGUAUGAAGAUGUCAGAAGGAGCUCUUCAUAGCACUGAGUUCAAUUCUCCAACCAUCAAAAUCAGCUUUAUAACUCAACUCUGAGUAAGGCCCACUCUUGGAUAGUUCAUUGCUCUGUCAGGAAAGCACAGAUUUUUUCUUUUGUCAGAACUGUAUUCCUGUUUUAAAAUAAAUAUCAGGAGUUCCAACUGGGGUGUAGUGUGUUAAGAAUUCCUCUGAAGUGGCUUGGGUCACUGCAGAGGUGCAUGUACGAUCCCUGGCCCAGUGCAGUGAGUUAAGGAUCCAGCGUUACUGUAGCCGUGGCAUAGGUCACAGCUGUGGCUCAGAUUCGAUCCCUGGCCUGGGAACCUCCCAUGUGCUGUGGGUACAG